This 503-nucleotide ribosomal RNA is filed under the name uncultured Glomus. Its description in RNAcentral is "SSU rRNA". It matches the Rfam family "Eukaryotic small subunit ribosomal RNA", at positions 569 to 1074 of the family's 1831-position model. The record is from RNAcentral. Lineage: Eukaryota; Fungi; Glomeromycota; Glomeromycetes; Glomerales; Glomeraceae.
AGCAGCCGCGGUAAUUCCAGCUCCAAUAGCGUAUAUUAAAGUUGUUGCAGUUAAAAAGCUCGUAGUUGAAUUUCGGGGUUAGUAGGUUGGUCAUGCCACUGGUAUGUACUGGUCUCACUGAUUCCUCCUUCCUGAUGAACCGUAAUGCCAUUAAUUUGGUGUUGCGGGGAGACUGGACUGUUACUUUAGAAAAAAAUUAGAGUGUUUAAAGCAGGCUCGCGCUUGAAUACAUUAGCAUGGAAUAAUGAAAUAGGACGUUUGAUUCUAUUUUGUUGGUUUCUAGGAUCGACGUAAUGAUUAAUAGGGAUAGUUGGGGGCAUUAGUAUUCAAUUGUCAGAGGUGAAAUUCUUGGAUUUAUUGAAGACUAACUACUGCGAAAGCAUUUGCCAAGGAUGUUUUCAUUAAUCAAGAACGAAAGUUAGGGGAUCGAAGACGAUCAGAUACCGUCGUAGUCUUAACCAUAAACUAUGCCGACUAGGGAUCGGAUGAUGUAAUUUUAAUGA